AGUCGUCUUGAAAUGUGCGUAGGUUGCGGACGUGAUUUCUCUCCGCUCUCACAUUCCCCACUUUUCUGGCAGCCGGCACCGUCGGGUGGCCGACUUGGCCCCCCAUGCUCCUUGCUAGGACUUCCGACUAGACUAUUCCGGCUGUUUAUAUUGAAAAUGAACAGAUGGGCAGGACUAACACGCACCCCUCGACUCUCUCAUCUAUCGUCGAAUAAAUUGCAUCAAAGUAUACGGCCGGCCCGGCUCUUUCUCUUCUUCUUUGCAGAGGGAAAAAUCAGUGGAGGAUCGAUUCGAGUUUCUCUAGAGACUCAACAUAUAUUAUAAAACAUUUAAAAUGGAAUUUUUUUUAAAUUCCCCGGGCUCCUGAGUGACUGUUGUUUUGUGUGACGAGUUUCGGGUCUAAAAGUUUACAAAUGUUCCGAAAUGUUCUGUGGGUUCAAUGCAAAUUUUUAUUCUUAGUGUUAUCUCGAGAGUGGUUUUUCGUUACGAACUGGUUAUUGGUUAAUGCUAAAUUAAUCGGAUUUGAGGCCUGAGCGGGCUGAGCCAGUCAUCAUAACCACAAGAUCUACACCAGUUUGGCUCUGGCUGGUGUUGACCUGCCAUCACCAACAAUCUCAGCAUCAUCACUUGGGGCAUUACAUGUACGCCUAAAAAUAAUCUCCUGUUUAUUAGCAAUUGGGGUAUUACUUACUCAUUCAAAAAUGAGAAAAAAUCCCUGAUUUCCUGGUUUCCUUUCUUAAUUGGGCGGGAAUUGAAUUACGUUAGACAGUCGAAACGAUUCAUUAGGAAAA
This 791-nucleotide long non-coding RNA is filed under the name Daphnia pulex (common water flea). Its description in RNAcentral is "uncharacterized LOC124202791, transcript variant X1". The record is from RNAcentral. Lineage: Eukaryota; Metazoa; Arthropoda; Branchiopoda; Diplostraca; Daphniidae.